UCAACAUGAUGAAUACCACUGCAGGGAAACAAAUCACUCCGCAAAUAUAACAGCCCACUUUCUGAUGGACAAGGAAUAUUUUCCCCCCAUUUACUCAUAUUCAAACAAUUGGAACUAAUACAGUUUUAUAAGCAGGACCCAAAGCUAUUACUUUUCUCAGAAACUCUGUAUUGGGGCUUGGAAAUAGGUAUGAUGAGAAUUCUUUUCUAUCCAUUAAAAUAAGGUUACCUUCAUAAGUUCAGAUCCAACCUAGCUUGGUAGUGACUUGAAUAGGGCAAACCCUUUUUUUUUUUUUUUUUUUUUUUUUUUUUUUUUAAUUGUGGGAAACUCCAGGUUUAUUGGCACACAACUUUCUCAUAUAAAACUUCGGAAAAUGCUGCAAUAUAGUAAUAUUUUUUAAGGUUUGAAAAAAUAUAAUGGGCAAAUUAUUUUAUAUUUUACCUUAUAAGUCUGCUUGAACAGUGAUCUGGAUGUCUCAUGUCUUGUCUUUAGGAGGCUGAGCUCUGUCUGAGCUUUUAUGUAUUUAAUGUAACCUAAAGAGGGCAUGUGGCAGCUCAUGGGACAUAGAACCCAGCUUCCUUGCCAGUCUUCAGUAAGAGUAAUCUACUGAAAAAGCACAUAGAGGAAUGACUGAUUGCUUAGAAAAUAAUGAUGACUGAAAUACUGAUCCAGGGAGUUGUGUAAGGAACAUGGUGCUGAGAUAGAAACUUGUUAACAAACACUGGGAUCCCAGGAUCUUCCUUUAGGAGGUGAUAUCACAUGUGACCUAUCCCGGCCUUUCUUUCAAGGUGACAUGAAUUAAAAAAAAUAAUUAAAAUGGUUUGCAGUGGUGUUCUGCACUCCCACA
Taeniopygia guttata (zebra finch) is the source of this 847-nucleotide non-coding RNA. NCBI's taxonomy places the organism in Eukaryota, Metazoa, Chordata, Aves, Passeriformes, Estrildidae. The record is from RefSeq and is a predicted model, not a curated record.